This 85-nucleotide transfer RNA is filed under the name Betaproteobacteria bacterium. RNAcentral's name for it is "tRNA-Leu". It matches the Rfam family "tRNA". Rfam says of the family: Transfer RNA (tRNA) molecules are approximately 80 nucleotides in length. Their secondary structure includes four short double-helical elements and three loops (D, anti-codon, and T loops). Further hydrogen bonds mediate the characteristic L-shaped molecular structure. tRNAs have two regions of fundamental functional importance: the anti-codon, which is responsible for specific mRNA codon recognition, and the 3' end, to which the tRNAs corresponding amino acid is attached (by aminoacyl-tRNA synthetases). tRNAs cope with the degeneracy of the genetic code in two manners: having more than one tRNA (with a specific anti-codon) for a particular amino acid; and 'wobble' base-pairing, i.e. permitting non-standard base-pairing at the 3rd anti-codon position. RNAcentral also lists the same sequence under 1 other name. Lineage: Bacteria; Pseudomonadati; Pseudomonadota; Betaproteobacteria. The record is from RNAcentral.
GCCGACGUGGUGAAACUGGUAGACACGCUGUCUUGAGGGGGCAGUGGCGUAAGCCGUGGGAGUUCGAGUCUCCCCGUCGGCACCA